AUGGAAAAGAUCCAGAAAGUAUCAAUCUUAGUCCUCGCCCUUCACCUAGCAUGGGUGAGUGGUCAGCAGAGGGGAAAACCUGACCAGCAGCAGGUGAGACAAAGUCCCCAAUCUCUGACAGUCUGGGAAGGAGAGACCUCAGUUCUGAACUGCACUUAUGAAAACAGCGCAUUUGACUACUUCCCAUGGUACCGGCAGUUCCCUGGUGAAGGCCUUGAAUUCCUGAUAGCCAUAAAUUCAGUGUCAAAUAAAAAGGAAGGUGGACGAUUCACAGUCUUCUUCAGGAAAAGUGAUAAACAGCUCUUCUUGCACAUCACAGAUUCUCAGCCUGAAGACUCAGCCACCUACUUCUGUGCAGCAAAUACACACUUCACUACGCUGACCUUUGGGUCAGGGACCAGCCUGGCUGUGCGCCCAUACAUCCAGGACCCCAAACCAGCUGUGUACCAGCUAAGAGAUGCUCAGGCCAAGAACAGCACCAUCUGCCUGUUCACCGACUUCGGUUCCCACGUCAACAAGUCAGAGGACGUGCCACCUGAUGUGUUUGUCUCCAACAACAAUGUGCUGGACAUGCGGUCUAUGGAUUCCAAGAGCAAUGGGGCCAUUGCCUGGAGUGACCACAGUAGUUUGAACUGUAAAGACGCCUUCAGACAGAACGCCUCCUUCCCCAGCUCAG
Molecule: non-coding RNA, 676 nt
Organism: Microtus ochrogaster (prairie vole)
Lineage: Eukaryota; Metazoa; Chordata; Mammalia; Rodentia; Cricetidae
Source: the annotation of a RefSeq genome assembly